ACAACCACUCCUACAUCCACUCCUGCAUCCACGCCUACACCGACACCCACACCACCUACGUGUCCUGAAUGGAAUGUUACACAAAAUGAGACGUUCUACCUGUGCAACUGCACCAUGGCCAAGUGCAUUGAGAACAAUACAAUUGAAAUAGUUCCAUAUGAAUGCCCCCCCAUUAAGGAGAUUACUUGUGCAAAUGGAAAGAAACCAGUUCUUGUGUAUGAUGAGUACUACUGCUGCCAACAUUAUGUUUGUGACUGUGUAUGUGAAGGCUGGGGAGAUCCUCAUUACAUAACUUUUGAUGGAUUAUACUACAGUUAUCAAGGGAACUGUACUUAUGUUUUAAUGGAAGAGAUUUUACCAAAACAUCACUUGAAAAUUUAUAUUGAUAAUGUCUUUUGCGAUCCCACUGAAGAUGUUUCUUGUCCACGAUCACUAAUAAUAUCAUAUGGGUCAGAAGUUGUAACACUCAUUAAUCAUAA
Molecule: long non-coding RNA, 479 nt
Organism: Stegastes partitus (bicolor damselfish)
Lineage: Eukaryota; Metazoa; Chordata; Actinopteri; Pomacentridae
Exons: 3
Source: RefSeq, a predicted model, not a curated record